This 256-nucleotide ribosomal RNA is filed under the name uncultured bacterium. RNAcentral describes it as "partial 16S ribosomal RNA". It matches the Rfam family "Bacterial small subunit ribosomal RNA", at positions 524 to 776 of the family's 1533-position model. The record is from RNAcentral.
GACAUAGGUGGCGAACGUUAUCCGGAAUUAUUGGGCGUAAAGGGUGCGUAGAUGGUUUGAAAAGUUAGCGGUGGGAAAUCGAGGCUCAACCUCGUGGAAGUUGUUAAUACUAUCAAACUAGAGUGCAGGAGAGGUUAACGGAACUCAAUGUGGAGCGGUAAAAUGCGUAGAUAUAUUGAAGAACACCAAUAACGGCGAAGGCAGUUAACUAUUCUGUUACUGACGUUGAGGCACGAAAGCGUGGGGAGCAAAAAGG